GGGGUCUUAGCACAACUGGUAGUGCAAUUGCUUUGCAAGCAAUAGGUUAGGGGUUCGAGUCCCCUAGAUUCCA
RNAcentral lists this transfer RNA (73 nucleotides) under Synechococcus phage S-CRM01. It matches the Rfam family "tRNA". Rfam says of the family: Transfer RNA (tRNA) molecules are approximately 80 nucleotides in length. Their secondary structure includes four short double-helical elements and three loops (D, anti-codon, and T loops). Further hydrogen bonds mediate the characteristic L-shaped molecular structure. tRNAs have two regions of fundamental functional importance: the anti-codon, which is responsible for specific mRNA codon recognition, and the 3' end, to which the tRNAs corresponding amino acid is attached (by aminoacyl-tRNA synthetases). tRNAs cope with the degeneracy of the genetic code in two manners: having more than one tRNA (with a specific anti-codon) for a particular amino acid; and 'wobble' base-pairing, i.e. permitting non-standard base-pairing at the 3rd anti-codon position. The record is from Rfam by way of RNAcentral. Lineage: Duplodnaviria; Heunggongvirae; Uroviricota; Caudoviricetes; Pantevenvirales; Kyanoviridae.